RNAcentral lists this ribosomal RNA (717 nucleotides) under Pseudarthrobacter oxydans. RNAcentral's name for it is "bacterial SSU rRNA". It matches the Rfam family "Bacterial small subunit ribosomal RNA", at positions 18 to 749 of the family's 1533-position model. Lineage: Bacteria; Bacillati; Actinomycetota; Actinomycetes; Micrococcales; Micrococcaceae. The record is from RNAcentral.
CAUGGCUCAGGAUGAACGCUGGCGGCGUGCUUAACACAUGCAAGUCGAACGAUGAUGGGAGCUUGCUCCUGGAUUAGUGGCGAACGGGUGAGUAACACGUGAGUAACCUGCCCUUAACUCUGGGAUAAGCCUGGGAAACUGGGUCUAAUACCGGAUAUGACUCCUCAUCGCAUGGUGGGGGGUGGAAAGCUUUUUGUGGUUUUGGAUGGACUCGCGGCCUAUCAGCUUGUUGGUGAGGUAAUGGCUUACCAAGGCGACGACGGGUAGCCGGCCUGAGAGGGUGACCGGCCACACUGGGACUGAGACACGGCCCAGACUCCUACGGGAGGCAGCAGUGGGGAAUAUUGCACAAUGGGCGCAAGCCUGAUGCAGCGACGCCGCGUGAGGGAUGACGGCCUUCGGGUUGUAAACCUCUUUCAGUAGGGAAGAAGCGAAAGUGACGGUACCUGCAGAAGAAGCGCCGGCUAACUACGUGCCAGCAGCCGCGGUAAUACGUAGGGCGCAAGCGUUAUCCGGAAUUAUUGGGCGUAAAGAGCUCGUAGGCGGUUUGUCGCGUCUGCCGUGAAAGUCCGGGGCUCAACUCCGGAUCUGCGGUGGGUACGGGCAGACUAGAGUGAUGUAGGGGAGACUGGAAUUCCUGGUGUAGCGGUGAAAUGCGCAGAUAUCAGGAGGAACACCGAUGGCGAAGGCAGGUCUCUGGGCAUUAACUGACGCUGA